UACAGAGGGUGCAAGCGUUGUUCGGAAUUAUUGGGCGUAAAGGGAGUGUAGGCGGCUUGAUAAGUCUUGUGUGAAAUCUCCUGGCUCAACUGGGAGGGUGCGCCGGAAACUGGAGUGCUUGAGCGUGGGAGAGGAAAGCGGAAUUCCUGGUGUAGCGGUGAAAUGCGUAGAUAUCAGGAGGAACACCUGUGGUGUAGACGGCUUUCUGGACCAUAGCUGACGCUGAGACACGAAAGCGUGGGUAGCAAACAGG
This 253-nucleotide ribosomal RNA is filed under the name uncultured bacterium. RNAcentral describes it as "partial 16S ribosomal RNA". It matches the Rfam family "Bacterial small subunit ribosomal RNA", at positions 524 to 776 of the family's 1533-position model. The record is from RNAcentral.